UACGGAGGGUGCAAGCGUUAUCCGGAUUCACUGGGUUUAAAGGGUGCGUAGGUGGGCUAGUAAGUCCGUGGUGAAAUCUCCAAGCUUAACUUGGAAACUGCCGUGGAUACUAUUAGUCUUGAAUAUUGUGGAGGUAAGCGGAAUAUGUCAUGUAGCGGUGAAAUGCUUAGAUAUGACAUAGAACACCGAUAGCGAAGGCAGCUUGCUGCACAAUCAUUGACACUGAGGCACGAAAGCGUGGGGAGCAAACAGG
RNAcentral lists this ribosomal RNA (253 nucleotides) under uncultured bacterium. RNAcentral describes it as "partial 16S ribosomal RNA". It matches the Rfam family "Bacterial small subunit ribosomal RNA", at positions 524 to 776 of the family's 1533-position model. The record is from RNAcentral.